Molecule: ribosomal RNA, 552 nt
Filed under: bacterium 5e82709
Lineage: Bacteria
Description: bacterial SSU rRNA
Rfam family: Bacterial small subunit ribosomal RNA
Source: RNAcentral
GGUGACGGGUAGCCGGCCUGAGAGGGCGACCGGCCACACUGGGACUGAGACACGGCCCAGACUCCUACGGGAGGCAGCAGUGGGGAAUAUUGCGCAAUGGGCGGAAGCCUGACGCAGCGACGCCGCGUGGGGGAUGACGGCCUUCGGGUUGUAAACCUCUUUCGCCAGGGACGAAGAGUGAUUGACGGUACCUGGAGAAGAAGCACCGGCCAACUACGUGCCAGCAGCCGCGGUAACACGUAGGGUGCGAGCGUUGUCCGGAAUUAUUGGGCGUAAAGAGCUCGUAGGCGGUGUGUCGCGUCGGCCGUGAAAACUUGGGGCUUAACUCUGAGCGUGCGGUCGAUACGGGCAUCACUUGAGUUCGGCAGGGGAGACUGGAAUUCCUGGUGUAGCGGUGAAAUGCGCAGAUAUCAGGAGGAACACCGGUGGCGAAGGCGGGUCUCUGGGCCGAUACUGACGCUGAGGAGCGAAAGCGUGGGGAGCGAACAGGAUUAGAUACCCUGGUAGUCCACGCCGUAAACGUUGGGCGCUAGGUGUGGGGACCAUUCCACG